Capsicum annuum is the source of this 3420-nucleotide long non-coding RNA. RefSeq lists it as uncharacterized. The record is from RefSeq and is a predicted model, not a curated record. NCBI's taxonomy places the organism in Eukaryota, Viridiplantae, Streptophyta, Magnoliopsida, Solanales, Solanaceae. The transcript is spliced from 2 exons.
GUCACUUACUGAUUGAAUUAGAACACAAGGCACUGUGGGCACUCAUGUGACUAAACUUGAAUUGGAAUGAGGCAGCAAAAUUGCAACUGGGGCAACUGAAUGAGAUGGAAAAAUUCCGUCUAGGGGCUUAUGAAAGAUCAAAUUUAUACAAGGAAAAGAUGAAGAAGUAUCAUGAUUAGAGUAUCAAAAAGUGAGACUUCUAGAAGGGUGAUUGGGUACUCCUAUUUAAUUCUAGACUAAAGCUCUUUCCAGGUACACUUAAAUCAAAGUGGUCUGGCCCAUUCAAAGUUAACCAAGUCUACUCAUUUGGAGUAGUUGAACAUGAAAAUGGGGACGGAAGUGUCUUCAAGGUUAAUGGGAAAUGGGUGAAGCUGUAUCUCGGCCCAACGGACUCGGUAAAGUGCAUAUCUAUCACCUAUCUUGAUGAAGUCUGAAUACUCGAGAUAACUAUGUCAUGCCGCGACAAUAAAUCAGGAGCUAGUGGGAGGCAACCCACAAAGUGUUAUUGUAAGCAUAGUUAGAGUUUAUUUGUUAUUUUGUGCAAUUUGAUGUGUUGUGUGAGUAUGCAGGAAGAGAAGUGCAGCAAACCAGAAGCUGGAAAGGUUGAGACAUACCUGGCGGACAGAUUGGGCGAACCGUCAAACCUUUGAUGGAUCACCACUGGAACCGUCAGAAGGAAAGCAAAUAUCUGAAGUACUAGAGUGAGGCUGACGGAGCAUUCGGCAGAUCAUCGCAUCCUUGAUGGACCAUCGGGUCUACCGUCUCACCAAAGCAGAAGGACCAUAGUACUGCUAAGCUGCGGUGGAUAACCUAAUGGGUUGUCGGGUCGACCGUCGUAUUAACCCUUAAUAUGAAGGGUCGGGUCGGGAAAAAUCCGAUUCUUAAUAAAUUGCCCUUAUCCGACCCAAAGGUUUUAAUUUGAUAAAAGAAAAAGCAGUUAUAAACAUUGCCACCCCUUCAAAUUGUAAAACUGAUUAAAUUCCUUCCUAUUCACUGAAUCAAGGAUCAGUUAUUUCCUAAGACUCUUCUUCUCUCCCAUUCUACCCUAUUUAAACAACCCUCUUUUUCUCUUGUUCUCACCACAAAGUUAGUUGAGCCUUAGUAAGUUGGUAGCCAUAGUUAAGUAUGAAGUUUGCAAGUCAGAGUAGUGAAGUUACUGCAGAAUCAAGGUAAUAUGGCUUAAAAACUUCCCCUAACAAGAGACGAUGGUAGAGCUCAAUGGGGCAGAGGCAAGCCAGCAAGGAGUGAGGAGGCGCCUACCUUCAACACUUGGUAGUGAGAUAGGGUACUCCCAAUACUCUCCCAGUCUGAGAAAGAGGGUAAAAGUAACAACAGCAUACUAGUUCCACUCCCAAUAAGGAAAGGGUAGAUACCUUUAACCCUGACCAAGUCGAGGCUUUGGAACAAGAGGAUAUAAAUGUCAUAAGGCAUAAGGACCCGUAAGUUUGGGAAUUAAUUCAAUAACAAGUGGAAGGAGCAUGUAAGCAUUUCCUGUAUGGGUUGAAACCUACAUCUAGCAGACCAAUAAGAAGGCCCAUCCACGAAGAGUUUCAGAUUAUUAUUACUGAGUUGCACGAGUACCUUAAGUUGGAGCAGAGAUUCAACAAAUAUCAGUUGUCUUGGAUGAGUGUCCCACCUGGUACAUACCAACCAAACCUUUUUUGUAAAUUAUUUGCCAACUAUUUGGUGUUAUUGUAAAAAAAAUGCCCCAAGGGUACGAAGAUUUCUAAAUUAGAAAAUCCGGAUGUGGUUCCGGUGCAUGGAGUUAACAUAGACAUUUCAAAACGCACCUUGAAUCAGUUCCUGUUUGGUCCUGAGUAUGAGAUACCUAGUGCGAUCCCAGAUCUGGAGCAACGCAUGUUCACUACAACUCAAUAAACACCCUGGCUGGACCGAGUAUUGACAGAUAAUAAAAAUCCAGCGUGGCUGCAUAACCCUCAUGAGCGGAUAGCAAAGUCGUCCCUAAGCUUUAGAGCAAAAUUUUGGUGGGCCAUUGUCAGGUUAAGACUGAUGCCAACAGGUGGUGAGGCCAAUUUAGAGAUUCAGAGAGUUGUGAUGGUUGUUGCUUUGAUUGAGGGGCUAAAGAUAGAUUUUGGCCAUACUAUUGCAGGCGAGAUGUUUGCCCGGGUAUAUAAGACAUCCAAUGCUCUACCAUUUCCAUGCCUUAUUACAAAGUUGUGCAGGCGGGCAAAUGUCCCCUUGAUUAGUGAAGUUCAUAAUGAGGUCCGUGCGAGUUACCGAUAGGAUAUUGAGAAGAUGAAAGAUGAUUCAAAGUACGAAAUGUGAUUCAACAAGCCUCCCGCUUAUCAGACUUAGUCAGCUCUAGCUCCCGGGGCUUCGGAUGUCCCCUCAGGUAUACCAUUGUCUAUCCCUACCUAUGAACUACUGGAUUUUAUACCACAUACAACUUCUACAUGGUCAGCCUCCAUGCCACCAAUGGGAGAGACUGCCAAUUCUGCAUCUGUCCCUCCAUAAUAUUUGAAGUACAAGUUGACACAAAAAAUUUUUGCUAAGUUCGUAAAAUAAUAGAAAAAGUUCCAGAAGCAGCUUGACACAUGGGCUAUGCAAUUCAAGCCUUUUGUUAACCGCAUUGUAGUUGAAACAAUCCAUUCUUGUCAAAACAUUUAAAGAAGGAGGGACCAUAUGGAGGAAUGUGUCAACAAAAGGCUGAAUAUGAUAUCUAUUCCAUAUUUUGCUAAGUUGAUGGCAGAAUUCAGGCAAGCGCAGACAGACAUAGCAGAUCUAAAAAGGGCAACAACCACAGCAGCCCACUUUUGACCUUUCUUUGAUUAUCAGUGAUGAGGAUGAGGGCAUCAUAGACUUGAUGGGGAUGUCGCUCACAGACAAGGGUAAGCAGGUUGAUGAUAGUGAUGACCAUAAACCUGCUAAAAGAAGGAGGCGAGAAGCGAUGAAAUAGGAAGAAAGAGAAGCCAGGGAUAUGAAGAAAGCUGUAAAGAGGUCAAGAAGAGAUGAAGCAAAGAGACAGAAGAAGGCUGCAGAUAAAGCUGCAAGUAUUUCUACUAGUUCUGCCCCAUCUAGGGGACCCACUCCAGACCCGAAUCAUGUUGACAUACCUCUGAUUCUGGAGGGUGAAAUUGUGAUCCCCCUUACCACCAUAGGGGUCAACGUUGUUGUAGGUGAGGCCAAAGAAGCUUCACCAUAUUUGACUGAUGCCUCAUCUAAAUAAGAGGCUUUACAAGUAUUUUCCUCCCUUGUAUUUUACUUUUAUGCAUUGACGAUAAUGCAUAUAUUUUUAAUGGGGGUGGGUAUACUUGUACCACGAGGUUUUUUGUUCCUGCGUUCUUUUUCUCCCGUGUGCUAUCUAGUAGAACCAACAUAUCUAGGUUGCAUUUUAUUUUUGUAAGUAGUUGUGAUGUAAAUAUCUAUUGUUAAUGUUAUUUAUGAAGUGUCUUUCCUUUA